AAUUAUUAGUUAUAGUAGGCAUGUUAAAAAGUCUUGAAUGGUGACAUAAUUAUUAGACCACUGUUAAAUUGUUUAGUCCGCACGAUUCAUACACGGUCUUAACUUAAUUUCGAUUUCAAAAUUUGAAUUUCACAGUGAACUAAUAUAAUCUCAGUCCCUUGACGAGAAUUGUACAUGGAUACUGGAACACCGAGUUGCUAACGAUGUUGUAUCUGUUAGAGCUUUCCAUCGCCAUCUUUGUGAUUCGCUAACAUCUCGUAGAGCUUAUCGUACGAGAAACAAGAUGUUCAAACUUGUUUUAAAUUAAUCAGCGGUUUGACACAAGCGGUUCUUGUGUAGGUGGCUAGAAUCAUCUAUGAUCCAAGCAUCAUAAGCCAUAUCUACAUUUCCGGGCCUAAAGAUUGAAGAUGCUGUAUCUGAUGGAUCAUUGGCUUGCUCGGUGAUCUCCUUUACUUUUUUGCUUUAUUUUGUUUUGAAUUCGUUUACUUUGUUGAAUCUUCCAAGAGUCUGCCUUAAACUUGUGAAGUACUUCAUGAAUUUAACUGGUUUAUAUCAUUGGAUUUGUUUUGUUUGAGCUUUUUUUUU
RNAcentral lists this small RNA (585 nucleotides) under Arabidopsis thaliana (thale cress). RNAcentral describes it as "ATSL180990". Lineage: Eukaryota; Viridiplantae; Streptophyta; Magnoliopsida; Brassicales; Brassicaceae. The record is from RNAcentral.